RNAcentral lists this ribosomal RNA (1358 nucleotides) under uncultured bacterium. Its description in RNAcentral is "16S ribosomal RNA". It matches the Rfam family "Bacterial small subunit ribosomal RNA". The record is from RNAcentral.
UCCUGGCUCAGGAUGAACGCUGGCGGCGUGCCUAACACAUGCAAGUCGAACGAUUAAACCGCCCUCGGGCGGACAUAGAGUGGCGAACGGGUGAGUAACACGUGACCAACCUGCCCCGCGCUCCGGGACAACCGCUGGAAACGGCGGCUAAUACCGGAUACUCCGGGAGGGCCCCAUGGCCCUGCCGGGAAAGCCGAGACGGCGCGGGAUGGGGUCGCGGCCCAUUAGGUAGACGGCGGGGUAACGGCCCACCGUGCCCGCGAUGGGUAGCCGGACUGAGAGGUUGGCCGGCCACAUUGGGACUGAGAUACGGCCCAGACUCCUACGGGAGGCAGCAGUGGGGAAUUUUGCGCAAUGGGGGAAACCCUGACGCAGCAACGCCGCGUGCGGGACGAAGGCCCUCGGGUUGUAAACCGCUUUCAGCAGGGAAGAUCCAAGACGGUACCUGCAGAAGAAGCUCCGGCUAACUACGUGCCAGCAGCCGCGGUAAUACGUAGGGGGCGAGCGUUAUCCGGAUUCAUUGGGCCUAAAUCGCGCGUAGGCGGCCGCCUAAGCGGGACCUCUAACCCCGGGGCUCAACCCCGGGCCGGGUCCCGGACUGGGCGGCUCGAGUGCGGUAGAGGAGAGCGGAAUUCCCGGUGUAGCGGUGGAAUGCGCAGAUAUCGGGAAGAACACCGAUGGCGAAGGCAGCUCUCUGGGCCGUCACUGACGCUGAGGCGCGAAAGCUGGGGGAGCGAACAGGAUUAGAUACCCUGGUAGUCCCAGCCGUAAACGAUGGGCGGUUAGGUGUGGGGGGACGAUCCCUCCGUGCCGCAGCCAACGCAUUAAGCGCCCCGCCUGGGGAGUACGGCCGCAAGGCUAAAACUCAAAGGAAUUGACGGGGGCCCGCACAAGCAGCGGAGCAUGUGGCUUAAUUCGAAGCAACGCGAAGAACCUUACCAGGGCUUGACAUGCCGAUGAAGCCGGGGAGACCCGGUGGCCGAGAGGAGUCGGCGCAGGUGGUGCAUGGCUGUCGUCAGCUCGUGUCGUGAGAUGUUGGGUUAAGUCCCGCAACGAGCGCAACCCCCGCCCCGUGUUGCCAGCAUUCAGUUGGGGACUCGCGGGGGACUGCCGGCGUCAAGCCGGAGGAAGGUGGGGACGACGUCAAGUCAUCAUGCCCCUUAUGCCCUGGGCUGCACACGUGCUACAAUGGCCGGUACAGAGGGUUGCCACCCCGCGAGGGGGAGCGGAUCCCGGAAAGCCGGUCCCAGUUCGGAUCGCAGGCUGCAACCCGCCUGCGUGAAGCCGGAGUUGCUAGUAAUCGCGGAUCAGCACGCCGCGGUGAAUACGUUCCCGGGCCUUGCACACACCGCCCGUCA